RNAcentral lists this ribosomal RNA (253 nucleotides) under uncultured bacterium. Its description in RNAcentral is "partial 16S ribosomal RNA". It matches the Rfam family "Bacterial small subunit ribosomal RNA", at positions 524 to 776 of the family's 1533-position model. The record is from RNAcentral.
UACGUAGGGGGCAAGCGUUGUCCGGAAUCAUUGGGCGUAAAGCGCGUGUAGGCGGCCCGGUAAGUCCGCUGUGAAAGUCCAGGGCUCAACCCUGGAAAGCCGAUGGAUACUGCCGGGCUAGAGUUCGGAAGAGGCGAGUGGAAUUCCUGGUGUAGCGGUGGAAUGCGCAGAUAUCAGGAGGAACACCUAUAGCGAAGGCAGCUCGCUGGGACGACACUGACGCUGAGACGCGAAAGCGUGGGGAGCGAACAGG